This 1012-nucleotide long non-coding RNA is filed under the name Musa acuminata (dwarf banana). RNAcentral describes it as "long non-coding RNA (MACU_LNC002988)". The record is from RNAcentral. Lineage: Eukaryota; Viridiplantae; Streptophyta; Magnoliopsida; Zingiberales; Musaceae.
AGGCGGCAAGGGAGCUCCAAGUCCUCCUCCUCCUCACCACGACGAGGACGCGUUGUGUGGUGGUGGAGCUCUUACCAACCGCCCGAGGGCUUCACACACAAGCUGCUUACGUGCUCAUCCGGACAAAAGACCAUGGACGGUGACCGCUUGUCCCCCCUCCUUGUUCUCUGCAAAUUCCACUUGUGUCGCCACCCUUCGUUCGUUCAUCAGCAGUCAUCCAAACUCUCAUCUUUCUCUCUCUAGCUUGCUCUGCACAUACACUUUGGUGUGCUCAGAAUCUGUGGGGAUCAGUCGAUGCGACCAAACCGUGGACGCAACCAGAGGUGGUACGUAACCGAGACGAGAUCUCGAGCCGACAUGGUGACACGUAGGUCAGCGACACGACACGCCACGCCACGCCACGCGACGCGGGGGGCGGGGAAGGGCCCCACGCGCUCCUCGGCCCCGUAGCUGGAGCCAGCAACUCGUUUGAGUCCACGUCGGCCCGGUCCCACCCGACGUCACGAGGCUUGACCGGGGAGCAGACCGUCGGGCGAGCCGCCGGGUCGGGGUCUCCCCACGCGCCAACCGCCGCGACUAUUCCAGCGGAGAUGAUUUGUGGGUGUGAAGUCUCCUUUGGAUUCUUUGCAUGCUCAAAUUCUUAAGCCCAUCAAUAAUUGUUUGUUCCUAUUUGUUGAUCGAGAGUAGAGGAUUAAAUAAUGCUCAUAUGAAAAUAUGUACAGAUCAGAGGUUUCGUUUGGUUGUCUUGAAGUUUCCAUCGGACUAAAAACUAGAAGAAAAGGUUAGAAUACAGCAGCAAGACUCAUCCUGUCAUGCAAUCAGUAUCUUCGAGCAUUAGAGGUUAUGUUCGGUUGUCGUGAAGUUUCCAUUGGACGAAAACUAGAGAUAAGGUAAGAGAAUACAGCAAGAAUCAUCCUGUCAUGCUGUCUGUUUCUUGCUCCAAGGAGUCUUUCUUCAUGAUUGAUUAUUUUGUUGUUUUGGUAUCAAAUGAUGUACAGUCAAAUGCCCUCAG